RNAcentral lists this unclassified non-coding RNA (363 nucleotides) under Hevea brasiliensis (rubber tree). The record is from RNAcentral. Lineage: Eukaryota; Viridiplantae; Streptophyta; Magnoliopsida; Malpighiales; Euphorbiaceae.
UAGCUAUUGGCCCUUUCUCCAUUUGCAAAAAUUUGGAUCUAAUGCAUAUUUAUUUGACUUACCUAAGGAUAAGAAUAUUAAUCUUGUUUUCAAUGUGGAGGAUUUGUCACCUAAUCAAGGAACCUUUAAGCCUCCUACUUUGCCUUCUAGUGUUUCUACAAGUCAGCUUGUGCCAAAGUAAACAUCACUUCCUCAGUCUAAAGAUGUCAUUAAUGCUGUGCUUGAUGAUGAGUUCGUACUUCCUCGCAAGGUGGAUUUCGUAGAUUUCUUAUCAAGUGGCAAGGCCGUCUUGAUUUUGAUACCACUUGGAUCACACGAGGAAUUUCAGACUUUGGAUCCUUCUCUCGAAUGCUUAUUUGCAAA